UGGCGCAGUCAACUACAACGACAAGGAGCAGCUCGCCGAAAAGCUCUUUACCGAGGGAGAGAUGAAGCAAAAGACCGCUCUCAUCUUUCACUGCGA
Molecule: small nucleolar RNA, 96 nt
Filed under: Trichophyton rubrum BMU01672
Lineage: Eukaryota; Fungi; Ascomycota; Eurotiomycetes; Onygenales; Arthrodermataceae
Description: CD-box snoRNA
Source: RNAcentral